CUCUCCAAACUCGGUCAUUUAGAGGAAGUAAAAGUCGUAACAAGGUCUCCGUUGGUGAACCAGCGGAGGGAUCAUUACCGAGUUAUCCAACUCCCAACCCCUGUGAAUUAUACCUUUAAUUGUUGCUUCGGCGGGACUUCGCGCUCGCCGGGGACCCAAACCUUCUGAAUUUUUUAAUAAGGAUCUUCUGAGUGGUUAAAAAAAAAAUGAAUCAAAACUUUCAACAACGGAUCUCUUGGUUCUGGCAUCGAUGAAGAACGCAGCGAAAUGCGAUAAGUAAUGUGAAUUGCAGAAUUCAGUGAAUCAUCGAAUCUUUGAACGCACAUUGCGCCCGUCAGUAUUCUGGCGGGCAUGCCUGUUCGAGCGUCAUUACGCCCCUCAAGUCCCCUGUGGACUUGGUGUUGGGGAUCGGCGAGGCUGGUUUUCCAGCACAGCCGUCCCUUAAAUUGAUUGGCGGUCUCGCCGUGGCCCUCCUCUGCGCAGUAGUAAAACACUCGCAACAGGAGCCCGGCGCGGUCCACUGCCGUAAAACACCCCAACUUUUUAUAGUUGACCUCGAAUCAGGUAGGACU
Molecule: ribosomal RNA, 572 nt
Filed under: Metarhizium majus
Lineage: Eukaryota; Fungi; Ascomycota; Sordariomycetes; Hypocreales; Clavicipitaceae
Description: eukaryotic LSU rRNA
Rfam family: 5.8S ribosomal RNA (bases 216-369)
Source: RNAcentral